GACGAACGCUGGCGGCGUGCUUAACACAUGCAAGUCGAACGGAAAGGCCCUGCUUUUGUGGGGUGCUCGAGUGGCGAACGGGUGAGUAACACGUGAGUAACCUGCCCUUGACUUUGGGAUAACUUCAGGAAACUGGGGCUAAUACCGGAUAGGAGCUCCUGCUGCAUGGUGGGGGUUGGAAAGUUUCGGCGGUUGUGGCUGGAUUGGCGGGUUAUCCGCUAGAUGGUGGGGUAGUGGCUUUCCAAGGCUUUGACGGGUAGCCGGCCUGAGAGGGUGACCGGCCACAUGGGGACUGAGAGACGCCGCAGACGCCUACGGGAGGCAGCAGUGGGGAAUAUUGCGCAGUGGGCGGAAGCGUGAGGCAGCAACGCCGCGUGCGGGAUGACGGCUUUCGGGUUGUAAACCGCUUUCGCAGGUGACGAAGCGUGCGUGACGGUAAUGGGUAAAGAAGCACCGGCUAACUACGUG
RNAcentral lists this ribosomal RNA (468 nucleotides) under uncultured bacterium. RNAcentral describes it as "partial 16S ribosomal RNA". It matches the Rfam family "Bacterial small subunit ribosomal RNA", at positions 28 to 507 of the family's 1533-position model. The record is from RNAcentral.